RNAcentral lists this ribosomal RNA (252 nucleotides) under uncultured bacterium. RNAcentral's name for it is "partial 16S ribosomal RNA". It matches the Rfam family "Bacterial small subunit ribosomal RNA", at positions 524 to 776 of the family's 1533-position model. The record is from RNAcentral.
UACGUAGGGGGCAAGCGUUGUCCGGAAUUAUUGGGCGUAAAGCGCGCGCAGGCGGUCAUUUAAGUCUGGUGUUUAAGGCCAAGGCUCAACCUUGGUUCGCACUGGAAACUGGGUGACUUGAGUGCAGAAGAGGAGAGUGGAAUUCCACGUGUAGCGGUGAAAUGCGUAGAUAUGUGGAGGAACACCAGUGGCGAAGGCGGCUCUCUGGGCCUUUCCUGACGCUGAGACGCGAAAGCGUGGGGAGCGAACCGG